AGCUCGUCGGGCUCAUAACCCGAAGGUCAUCGGUUCAAAUCCGGUCCCCGCUACCA
RNAcentral lists this transfer RNA (56 nucleotides) under Cobetia sp. Its description in RNAcentral is "tRNA-Leu". It matches the Rfam family "tRNA", at positions 20 to 71 of the family's 71-position model. Rfam says of the family: Transfer RNA (tRNA) molecules are approximately 80 nucleotides in length. Their secondary structure includes four short double-helical elements and three loops (D, anti-codon, and T loops). The record is from RNAcentral. Lineage: Bacteria; Pseudomonadati; Pseudomonadota; Gammaproteobacteria; Oceanospirillales; Halomonadaceae. RNAcentral also lists the same sequence under 1 other name.